Molecule: non-coding RNA, 1348 nt
Organism: Pelobates cultripes (western spadefoot toad)
Lineage: Eukaryota; Metazoa; Chordata; Amphibia; Anura; Pelobatidae
Source: the annotation of a GenBank genome assembly
AUGUACUUACUUUUCUGAAGACUCAGGGGUGCUGGCUGGCUUGGCCUCAGGUGUGCUCCCUCCUUCUCACCUUCACGGUUGCCGACACGACACGAGACUCCGCCUCCGCGUGAUGUCACAAAACUCUGCGUACGCAAAGGGCAGUGGAGGUCGGAGGAGGAGCAACCCGGAAGUACGUCCUCCGCUCCUGAGUCCUGACUCCUUCACUAUGCGAUGCCGCUCGCUCGCAUAGUGAAGGCUCUGCUCAGGAGGAGCACCGGCUGGGCUCAAGAGGCUGCUGCCCUGGUCCUGCAGGAGCAAAGGGAAUGGCGUUCCUGCCAUGGAAAAAGUGCAGGAACGCCGUUCCCACGCGUUCCUGCAGGACUCGAGCCCUGUUUGCAGGGUUAUAUAGGCUUUAAAUCCCUCCCACAACUUCAGACAUACGCCUUCUAUUUGUGUACGGGAUUAUGAAAGGGGGCGUACACUUAAAGUGAGGGUAGGUUUGAUAAACACAAGUUUAGGUGUGCCGAAACUGACGAGAGGUUAGGCCUGUAAAAAGAGGGCCAAAAAGUAUUUAAACAUGUUUAUUUAUUACAACAACAACAACAUUAUUUAGACAUAUUAUAGAAAGUGAGUCUGAUUUCUUUCUCUGGGUUUGGAAUGUACCGGUUGUAUGCAGAAGAUUUACAGCGACCAAUUUUCUUUAUGAUAUGUGUCGGAACCCGACUACUAGUGGCAGCCCCAAUUCAGAAUGAGUGUCCUGAGAAGGAAUUUGAAUAAGUAUAGCAUGAAUUGUUUAGUAGUAAGUGGCUUUCCUUGUAGGGAUAACAGAGGCAGUUCUGGAUUUCUAAGAUGCUGAUUUUUUAUCAAAUUAUCUAGCAGUUGAACUGGGCACCAUUUGGAACCGGUAGGGAAAUAAUUAAUCUCCACUGAGGAGCCUACUUGGUUUGUUUUUGUGCAGGGGAUCGAUAGGACGUAAUGAUCGUUUACUUAGGUUAAGUUUUUCUGUUUAAGGCAAAUGUCAAUGUCAGAUAUUUUUUCUACCGUAAAUUCUUUGGGUAUUAGAAACCCAAAAAGGCCGCUGAUUUAAUGAUCAGGUUAGUGGUAUGUUCAAAAGGACUUUUAUCUAAUAACUUGGAGAUUUCUUUAAAGAUGUUACUGUCUAUGGGAAGUCUUUUUUAGGGAUUUUUGGAUUUUUAGUCUCUGGAUACCUUUUAGUAUGUUUUUUAUGGGGUAUGUGGAUAAGAAAGGAGUCUUGUUUGGAUAAAGAGUUAGCAUGAAAUGUUGUAUCCCCGCCAAGUAUAGUUUGAUGGUAUUGUAGGCUAGUUUUAAUGAGAAGUGGCAAAAAAGUUGUAAAAGCAACCAUGUU